RNAcentral lists this ribosomal RNA (491 nucleotides) under uncultured bacterium. RNAcentral's name for it is "bacterial SSU rRNA". It matches the Rfam family "Bacterial small subunit ribosomal RNA", at positions 19 to 518 of the family's 1533-position model. The record is from RNAcentral.
AUGGCUCAGGAUGAACGCUGGCGGCGUGCUUAACACAUGCAAGUCGAACGGGAUAUACUUUUAGCUUGCUAAGUUGUAUAUCUAGUGGCGGACGGGUGAGGUAACGCGUGGGUAACCUGCCGUAUGCCGGGGGACAACAGUUGGAAACGACUGCUAAUACCGCAUAAGCGCACAGUAUCGCAUGGUACAGUGUGAAAAAACUCCGGUGGCAUACGAUGGACCCGCGUCUGAUUAGCUAGUUGGUGAGGUAACGGCCCACCAAGGCGACGAUCAGUAGCCGGCCUGAGAGGGUGAACGGCCACAUUGGGACUGAGACACGGCCCAGACUCCUACGGGAGGCAGCAGUGGGGAAUAUUGCACAAUGGGGGAAACCCUGAUGCAGCGACGCCGCGUGAGUGAAGAAGUAUUUCGGUAUGUAAAGCUCUAUCAGCAGGAAAGAAAAUGACGGUACCUGACUAAGAAGCCCCGGCUAACUACGUGCCAGCCGCCGC